This 373-nucleotide ribosomal RNA is filed under the name uncultured Prevotella sp. RNAcentral describes it as "bacterial SSU rRNA". It matches the Rfam family "Bacterial small subunit ribosomal RNA", at positions 355 to 724 of the family's 1533-position model. The record is from RNAcentral. Lineage: Bacteria; Pseudomonadati; Bacteroidota; Bacteroidia; Bacteroidales; Prevotellaceae.
UGAGGAAUAUUGGUCAAUGGGGCGGAAGCCUGAACCAGCCAUGCCGCGUGAAGGAAUAAGGCCCUAUGGAUCGUAAACUUCUUUUGUGGUGGAGCAAUAAGACGUACGUGUACGUCGAUGAGAUUACAUCAGGAAUAAGGACCGGCUAAUUCCGUGCCAGCAGCCGCGGUAAUACGGAAGGUCCGGGCGUUAUCCGGAUUUAUUGGGUUUAAAGGGAGCGUAGGCCGGAGAUUAAGCGUGUUGUGAAAUGCCGCGGCUCAACCGUGGCACUGCAGCGCGAACUGGUUUUCUUGAGUGCGCGCGACGCAGGCGGAAUUCGUGGUGUAGCGGUGAAAUGCUUAGAUAUCACGAGGAACCCCGAUUGCGAAGGCAG